RNAcentral lists this ribosomal RNA (403 nucleotides) under uncultured bacterium. RNAcentral's name for it is "partial 16S ribosomal RNA". It matches the Rfam family "Bacterial small subunit ribosomal RNA", at positions 30 to 526 of the family's 1533-position model. The record is from RNAcentral.
AUUGAACGCUGGCGGCAGGCCUAACACAUGCAAGUCGAACGCAGUGGGGACGGGUGAGUAACACGUGGGUAACCUCCCAUCAGAGGGGAUAACACUUGGAAACAGGUGCUAAACCGAUACUGAUGGAUGGACCCGCGGGUCAUUAGCUAGUUGGUGAGGUAACGGCUCACCAAGGCCACGAUGCAUAGCGGAGCGGCGAGGGUGAUCGGCAACACUGGGACUGAGACACGGUCCAGACUCCUACGUGAGGCAGCAGUAGGGAAUCUGCGGCAAUGGACGAAAGUCUGACCGAGCAACGCCGCGUGAGUGAAGAAGGUUGUCGGAUCGUAAAACUCUGUUGUUAGAGAAGCGGUAUCUAACCAGAAAGCCACGGCUAACUACGUGCCAGCCGCCGCGGUAAUAC